GUAUUACCGGAUGACAUACCUUUCCUGCAUGGGCGGGUUCUCAAAGGUCCGCCCGGUCUGGGAGCGGGCGAUUUCGUAUCAGCUAGUUGGUGAGGUAACGGCUCACCAAGGCGACGACGCGUAGCCGGACUGAGAGGUUGGCCGGCCACAUUUGGGACUGAGACACUGCCCAGACUCCUACGAGGGGGCUGCAGUAACGAAUCUUCCGCAAUGCGCGAAAGUGUGACGGAGCGACGCCGCGUGUGGGACGAAGCCCUUCGGGGUGUAAACCACUGUCAGGGGUUAGAAAGUUCUGGUCGUCUCUCAGAGGAAGGCACGGCUAACUCUGUGCCAGCAGCCGCGGUAAGACAGAGGUGCCAAGCGUUAGGCGGAAUCACUGGGCUUAAAGCGUGUGUAGGCGGAUGCCUAAGUACCUUGUGAAAUCCCACGGCUCAACCGUGGAACUGCUGGGUAUACUGGGUGUCUUGGGCCAACUAGGGGUUGCUGGAACAAAUGGUGGAGCGGUGAAAUGCGUAGAUAUCAUUUGGAACGCCAAGGGCGAAAGCAGGCGGCUGGGGUUGUGCCGACGCUGAGACACGAAAGCCAGGGGAGCGAACG
RNAcentral lists this ribosomal RNA (597 nucleotides) under uncultured bacterium. RNAcentral describes it as "bacterial SSU rRNA". It matches the Rfam family "Bacterial small subunit ribosomal RNA", at positions 163 to 774 of the family's 1533-position model. The record is from RNAcentral.